Molecule: long non-coding RNA, 214 nt
Filed under: Elaeis guineensis (African oil palm)
Lineage: Eukaryota; Viridiplantae; Streptophyta; Magnoliopsida; Arecales; Arecaceae
Description: long non-coding RNA (EGUI_LNC061126)
Source: RNAcentral
GUGUGAUAAGAGAGAAAAAAACCUUAAAAAAUUAGAGGAAAAGAUAAGAAGAAAUUGAGUGGAAAAGAUAGAAAGAAGAGAGAUGAGAAAAAUAGCAAGUGAGGUGUGCUUGUCCUAGGGUUUGAUUUUUUCAUAUGUUGGAGUAUAAAAUCAAAUCUUAGGUUAUGAGACUACUAGAAAAAAUUCUCUUGGCAUGAUCCUAAUGGAGAAAUCA